This is a long non-coding RNA of Colius striatus (speckled mousebird), 784 nucleotides long. RefSeq lists it as uncharacterized. The transcript has 3 exons. Lineage: Eukaryota; Metazoa; Chordata; Aves; Coliiformes; Coliidae. The record is from RefSeq and is a predicted model, not a curated record.
CGCGGGGUGCAUUCGCUGGUCGACCAUGCGGCUGUGUUUGGCGUGUCUGUGGGUCCCGUGGGCUCUGUCUCCUGUGGGGUCGCGGCGCUGCCCGUCGGAACCUUCCCCCAGCGCCUCCCCCGGACUGUUUUGAUCCCAUCUCUUCAUCUCUCUGCUCCCUCUUUGAAUUCAGCCCUCUCGGCGUGGAAGAUCAACAUACGCACAGAGAUGGAUUUGCUUUGGAUUUAAUGCCUGAAUUCGACUUGUCCCAUUUCUGGCCAAUGCCAUUCUACAGAUACUGUGAAGAAUACAGUUGAUCCAAGAUGGAAUCAGCAUUAUGACCUGUAUAUUGGGAAGUCGGAUUCAAUUACAACCAGCGUGUGGAAUCACAAGAAAAUUCAUAAAAAACAGGGAGCUGGUUUUCUGGGUUGUGUGAGGCUCCUUUCAGAUACAAUCAACCGCCUUAAAGACACUGGUUUUCGGAGACUGGAUCUGUGCAAGCUUGGUCGGAACCUUCCCCCAGCGCCGCGGGCUGCAGAGAAGCGGCAGCGUCGGACAGGCCGUGGCUCUGUCCCAGGAUGUGCUCACGCAGAUCGGCGGGAUCCAGGCGGCGGAGUCCCGAACGGGCAACGAGAUCCGGACGCUGCAGGAAAGGCUGGAGCAGCUGGAGAGGAGGAGUCCCGGCGGUUCAACCUUACAACUUUCCAGUCUCUUUGCUUUCCUUUUUUCUUUCACUGCUCAGUUACAAUAAAUGAGUUUUAAUUCUGUUUCCGAGAGUCCAUGGAACCUGCUCACCCAAGUGUGA